Molecule: long non-coding RNA, 3239 nt
Filed under: Mus musculus (house mouse)
Lineage: Eukaryota; Metazoa; Chordata; Mammalia; Rodentia; Muridae
Description: predicted gene, 39463
Source: RNAcentral
AUCCUGGGAAUUGUAGUUUUCAAGCGAGCAGCAUGCACGAGCCUGGGAAGACCAGAAGCUCUUCUUGGUGUUCUGUUUACCCAAUUAUGAGAGUUCUGAUGAUAAACUUAAAUACAAGAUACAGAAAUCUUCAUAUGUAAUCUGUUAGAGAAAAAAUAAUCCAUACCUUGACAUGCUUUUAAGACUCAUAAAGAGACUAUUGAUGGCUCAGCAGUUAAAGUAUUCACUGUAGAUGAGCACAAAGACUGAACAGAGCUGUUCAUGGUCAUUACUGAAGGCUUCUGUGCUCAGUUAACUUCGGAUCGUCUCCCCUCAAACCUGAGCCAAUGGAUCGCUCCUCCCUUACCAGGCUUCUUGUCAGCACUGCCUUUCCUGAUGCGGCCCAAACAUCCCAAACAUCCCUGCAGCACCGCUCCUGUUACAGCCUCUUCUCAGAUAAGAGAAGAGUGAAUGAUGAAGCGCACUCGUCAGUGAGUCGUCAGUGUCCUUGAGGACAGGCCAAUGAGUGAGGAGCAUUCUGUCACCCAGGCCAACUGUGCAAGCGAUGUCAUCCAGGCCAACUGUGCAAGCGAUGUCUCCCAGGCUAACCAGCAAGUGAUGUCACCCAGACCAACUGUGCAAGAGAUGUCUCCCAGGCCAACUGUGCAAGCGAUGUCAUCCAGGCCAACUGUGCAAGCAAUGUCUCCCAGGCUAACCAGCAAGUGAUGUCACCCAGACCAACUGUGCAAGAGAUGUCUCCCAGGCCAACUGUGCAAGUGAUGUCACCCAGGCCAACUGUGCAAGCGAUGUCACCCAGGCCAACUGUGCAAGCGAUGUCAUCCAGGCCAACUGUGCAAGCGAUGUCACCCAGGCCAACUGUGCAAGUGAUGUCACCCAGGCCAAAUGUGCAAGCGAUGUCACCCAGGCCAACUGUGCAAGCGAUGUCACACAGGUCAACUGUGCAAGCGAUGUCACCCAGGCCAACUGUGCAAGUGAUGUCAGGGACAGGGAAGCUUCAAGGGAUGUGUCUCUUCUGAAGCAACAGUUUGAUUUCUGUCUUCUACUCUAUGAAGGCUUGACAAGGUUGCUCUACAAAAAUUACUGGAUUCUGAGCUGAUGGUUCAGGCCCAAGGAUGUCAGCAGAGACUUUUGCAAUGGGGCAGGACAGGUUUCACGUCAGGCUUUCAAGCUAAGGACAGGCAGCCACCUCCUAAAGAACUGCUUCGGUUGUUCAGUGAGGGUUACAUUGUGUUUGAGAACUCACCCCUCUUCUCUCUGUUGGGGGAGGAUCAUUGCUCACAGACAUCCCAUCCCCCAGCAGCUGCCAGCUCACCAUCCUCAUGGAGGACACAGGUGGGUGUGCACACACUGUAAGAGAAGCUUGCCAGCUAACACAAACUAAUUUUGACUCUGAAAUAAGCAGCAGGAUCCUUCCCUGAAUGGAGUUUAUGUCAGCAAUCAUCAAAUAUAUUUGGCACCCCUAGUUGCAUAUCAAUAAACACAUGGGGUGGUAGCCCUGAACACUGAUGGAGCACAUUACUUCAGCCAGUCAGAGCUGUGGUAUCUUCUAGCAGCAGUUCUGGCAGGAAACACCGCAUCUCUAGAAAACAACCCCAACUCCGAGCAGUGGCAAUGUGGCAGCUCCCCCACAGCUCAACGCAAGCUUUCCUUCCAUCAUUUCCUGUUUGUGUGCUCACCUUCCCAUGGGUCUUGGUCCUGAGAGCCCUUCCUGUUAAGGUUUGGAUGUGGGUUGAGUAUGUCCCAGAGCCUGUGUGGUAGAAGCCUGGUUCUCAACAUGACAGUGUUGGAAGGUGGAACCUGCCACACCAGCCAAAGCAGCCAUUUUUUUUUCUUGGUGAGUGACUUGGGAGGCUUGGUCACUCCACCAGGGACAACCUACACUAGACAACUAGGUCAUUUUGUCCAGUUCCCACUUCUGAUGCUACAAUUUCUGAUCCACACUGGAAGAUGCCUGGAAGAAUCUCUAACACCAUUGCCCCCUUUGCCUAAGUCCUAUAAGUGGGUGCUAUCCUUUUAACAGGAUUAGUUAAGUGCAGACUGCAGAGGGCUGGACAGGGAGGUCGCUAAAGAGAAGAAGCCCGCAAAGCUGAGCUCUAAAGUGAGACUUAUCAAGGGGCAACAGGCUGGAGUGCCCCCUGGUGGAAACAAGACAUGAAGAGCCAGAGGAUGGGAGGAGGUGGGGCAGGUAAGCAGAGGCGUGUGGAGAAAGCCCUGCCUGUGUCUAGAACUGAAACAUUGUAUGCAGAUGUCCGAGGACAAGCUCACCCUCCCUGGAAGCCAUGAUGGCAGCCAUAUACUUUGUGCUACUGGGGCAUGGUCAUUUCUUCCAUAAGGGAGAGUAAACUGGAGGAGUACAGCAAGGGUGAAGGAAACAAGGUUGAACAGAUUAUGAAUUGAUGGGUCAGAAAACACAGGGAUGAGAAUAAAUGCAGAGAAGGCACUGGGGGAGUAUUGAGAGGGGUUGAGGUCCUUAGCUGCAAGAGGCAAGAGAUGAAAUCCAGAUAUCAUUGCAGAAAACAAAGGGGCAGUUGCCAAAAGAAUGCGGGACCACUAGAUAUCAGUAGUCUCAGAGAUGUGUGAUGUCCCAGCCCACUCUAUGGCUAGAACUAUGGAUGCUGAUUGCACCUGCUGGUUACUGCCUGCUUCCCUCUGCUGGCACAUCGUGGAACUGCACCUUGGCACCAGGUUCUUUCCUCCAAACUGGCUGAGUCUGAUUAUCCAACCUAACACCGAGUCGAAGUUUGCAAGCACACUGCAUCUUCCAACUCAAGGACCCGAGGCCCAGGAAGGAGAGGGAAUCACUAUGUGUCUUAAAUCACGUUAGUGGAUUUGAGAGUCCUGUUCCACCCACAGCCAUAGGUGGCCUAGUGUGCCCGGGAAGCCUCUGAGAGCGCACCCUUGUGUUCAACUGCGGCAUUGCAGAAACUUGUCCCUGACUCUGCGUUGCAACUGUUCACCCUCCCAAACGGGACAAAUUCCAAAGACUCUGAGCUCAGAAAGAACAGGGAACUGUCUGCAACUGGACAUAAUCAUACUAAGCAAAUUGAUUCAGUAUCAGAAAGACAAAUGUGACAUGUUCUCUGUGGGUCCUAAAGGUUAUAUAGAUACAUAAAUUCAUAUAAACAGAUGACAUGGAAGGAGAAACAGAGCUAUCUAGGCCUGGGGGGACCAAAAGGUGGGAUGUGCUCAAAGUACACUCAUGCUUUCAUGAAGAUGGCAAUAAAAAUAAGUAAACACAA